GGCAGGGUAGCCAAGAUGGUCACGGCGACUGACUGAAAAUCAGUAGAUCUCGGUUCGAGUCCGAGUCCUGCCA
This 73-nucleotide transfer RNA is filed under the name Patescibacteria group bacterium. RNAcentral describes it as "tRNA-Phe". It matches the Rfam family "tRNA". Rfam says of the family: Transfer RNA (tRNA) molecules are approximately 80 nucleotides in length. Their secondary structure includes four short double-helical elements and three loops (D, anti-codon, and T loops). Further hydrogen bonds mediate the characteristic L-shaped molecular structure. tRNAs have two regions of fundamental functional importance: the anti-codon, which is responsible for specific mRNA codon recognition, and the 3' end, to which the tRNAs corresponding amino acid is attached (by aminoacyl-tRNA synthetases). tRNAs cope with the degeneracy of the genetic code in two manners: having more than one tRNA (with a specific anti-codon) for a particular amino acid; and 'wobble' base-pairing, i.e. permitting non-standard base-pairing at the 3rd anti-codon position. The record is from RNAcentral.